Molecule: ribosomal RNA, 755 nt
Filed under: uncultured bacterium
Lineage: Bacteria
Description: bacterial SSU rRNA
Rfam family: Bacterial small subunit ribosomal RNA
Source: RNAcentral
ACGGGUGAGUAACGCGUGGAUAACCUGCCGUAUACAGGGGGAUAACACUUAGAAAUAGGUGCUAAUACCGCAUAAGCGCACGGUUCCGCAUGGAACAGUGUGAAAAACUCCGGUGGUAUACGAUGGAUCCGCGUCUGAUUAGCCAGUUGGCGGGGUAACGGCCCACCAAAGCGACGAUCAGUAGCCGGCCUGAGAGGGUGAACGGCCACAUUGGGACUGAGACACGGCCCAAACUCCUACGGGAGGCAGCAGUGGGGAAUAUUGCACAAUGGGGGAAACCCUGAUGCAGCGACGCCGCGUGAGUGAAGAAGUAUUUCGGUACGUAAAGCUCUAUCAGCAGGGAAGAAAAAAAGUCCUUUGGACUUUGGACGGUACCUGACCAAGAAGCCCCGGCUAACUACGUGCCAGCAGCCGCGGUAAUACGUAGGGGGCAAGCGUUAUCCGGAUUUACUGGGUGUAAAGGGAGCGUAGACGGCAGCGCAAGUCUGGAGUGAAAUGCCGGGGCCCAACCCCGGAACUGCUUUGGAAACUGUGCAGCUGGAGUGCAGGAGAGGUAAGCGGAAUUCCUAGCGUAGCGGUGAAAUGCGUAGAUAUUAGGAGGAACACCAGUGGCGAAGGCGGCUUACUGGACUGUAACUGACGUUGAGGCUCGAAAGCGUGGGGAGCAAACAGGAUUAGAUACCCUGGUAGUCCACGCCGUAAACGAUGAUUACUAGGUGUCGGGGGGCCAAGGCCCUUCGGUGCCGCCGCAAACG